Molecule: ribosomal RNA, 253 nt
Filed under: uncultured bacterium
Lineage: Bacteria
Description: partial 16S ribosomal RNA
Rfam family: Bacterial small subunit ribosomal RNA
Source: RNAcentral
UACGUAGGGUGCGAGCGUUAAUCGGAAUUACUGGGCGUAAAGCGUGCGCAGGCGGUUCGUUGUGUCUGAUGUGAAAGCCCCGGGCUCAACCUGGGAAUGGCAUUGGAAACUGGCGAGCUAGAGUGUGGCAGAGGGGGGUGGAAUUCCGCGUGUAGCAGUGAAAUGCGUAGAGAUGCGGAGGAACACCGAUGGCGAAGGCAGCCCCCUGGGCUGACACUGACGCUCAGUCACGAAAGCGUGGGGAGCAAACAGG